UACGUAGGGGGCAAGCGUUGUCCGGAAUCAUUGGGCGUAAAGCGUGCGUAGGCGGCCCGAUAAGUCUGCUGUAAAAGUCAACGGCUCAACCGUUGAAAGCCGGUGGAUACUGUCGGGCUAGAGUCCGGAAGAGGCAAGUGGAAUUCCUGGUGUAGCGGUGGAAAUGCGCAGAUAUCAGGAGGAACACCGAUGGCGAAGGCAGCUCACUGGGACGGUACUGACGCUGAGACGCGAAAGCGUGGGGAGCAAACAGG
This 254-nucleotide ribosomal RNA is filed under the name uncultured bacterium. RNAcentral describes it as "partial 16S ribosomal RNA". It matches the Rfam family "Bacterial small subunit ribosomal RNA", at positions 524 to 776 of the family's 1533-position model. The record is from RNAcentral.